Molecule: ribosomal RNA, 253 nt
Filed under: uncultured bacterium
Lineage: Bacteria
Description: partial 16S ribosomal RNA
Rfam family: Bacterial small subunit ribosomal RNA
Source: RNAcentral
UACGGAGACUGCGAGCGUUACUCGGAUUUACUGGGCGUAAAGCGUGCGUAGAUGGUCUUGUGUGUCAGGUGUGAAAUACCGGGGCUUAACUCCGGAAUUGCGCCUGAAACUGCUUGACUAGAGUCUCGGGGAGGUAAGCGGAAUUCCUAGUGUAGCAGUGAAAUGCGUAGAUAUUAGGAGGAACACCAAAGGCGAAGGCAGCUUACUGGACGAGUUCUGACGUUGAGGCACGAAAGCGUGUGUAGCAAAAGGG